RNAcentral lists this long non-coding RNA (6296 nucleotides) under Capsella rubella. RNAcentral's name for it is "long non-coding RNA (CRUB_LNC004419)". The record is from RNAcentral. Lineage: Eukaryota; Viridiplantae; Streptophyta; Magnoliopsida; Brassicales; Brassicaceae.
UUCUUUCUCACUCACUCACUAGUCUUGUUUUGUUUUGUUAGGUUGAGACUUGAGAAUUACAUAUUAAGAUUUUUCUUAAUUUCUUUGUCUAUUUCUAACAAAAAACACAUACGAGGUUUUCUUUACUUUAUGAUCAAGUAGAAAAAAAGAAAAAAAAAAUCUGUCCCGGUUCCCAAUGCAGAACCCCUGGUUCUCCAAUGGCCGUGCUUCCGCCUUGAAUCCAAGCGUUCCCACUGCUGGUGGUAACCUCAGCCCUUCUCCCCCAGUUCCCCCAGACCCUCCUGAUCCCUCUCUCCCCCACUGUUCCCUUUCCUCGUUUCCCCCUCUGUCUCCUAAGCCCCAAUCUCUGCAAGUGUCUUCUCUCCAAACUGCUCCUCCUGUAGGGCCUGGUGUGAAGUCUUCAGACUUGGUUGUUGCCUCAAACUCUACUACUACUGAUGUUGUGAUGCAUCCAGUUGACGAAAUCGCUACUCCUCCAGUAGAUCUUGGUGUGUUAAACCCUAGAUCUACAAUCACUGUUCAAGCCAUGAACAAAAGUACUGCCCCUGCGAAAUUCACUGUUUUAACUCCCAAAUCCUCUUCUCCUUUACUCACCAAUAAAGCGUCGACCUCUUCAUUCCCCCCAAACCCACCACAAACAGCCUUCCCACUUCCAAAUAAACCCUCCCAAACCCAAAAACUAGCCUCCCCAAAAACUGGAUCUCUAUCCUCUUCUUUACCUACCCCACCCCAAGGACAAACAUCAAUUGUCCAAGCAGAACAACUUCCUUCUGUUACUCCGAUUGAAAAUCCUAAAGCUCCUGGUUCGACCCCCAGUGUUCCUGGACCAGCUGCUCCUUCUACCAGCCUCCCUCAAGCCACAGGAAAGAAAACCCUGGUUGAGCGGCUGAGGAAGAAUGUGAAUAGAACAUUACAAAGAUUAGCCCCUGUAUCUUUAUCUAACUCUGGAAGGCCAUGUGUUCACAUCCCUGAUGCAGUCUUUCACAGAGGAGCUGAGCUUCACAAGGACUUCAUAAUCUGUUUCUUCAAUGGCAGGCCACCCCUCUACCAUCAGAUUCAGAGUGUCCUUAAUCAUAUUUGGGGUAAAGGCCAGCGUUUGGAGAUCCAUGUCAACCACUCAACAAGAUCCAUGCUUGUCAGAAUCCCAAAUGAGUACAUUAGGCAGAAAGUCCUUGAAAGAUGCAUUUGGUAUAUAGGGGACUCCAUGUUCCACACCACCUCCUGGUCCGCCAAUUACUCCUCUGACACUCCUGUACUUGACUCAAUCCCAAUAUGGAUACAUAUGCUCAACAUUCCUCUUGACCUGAGAACCAUUGAAGGAAUCAGUCUCAUCUCAGGGUUAGUAGGAGAGCCUGUAGAAACUGAUGAUUUUACUAUUAAUUUAGUGAGUUUGAAAGUUUCUCAUGCAAAGGUAAUUGUCGAUCUUACAAAGCCCUUACCUGCUGUUGUGGAAUAUACUAGAGAUAAUGGUCAGAUUGUUGAGGUUGAAGUGGAAUAUCCUUGGUUGCCUCCCACUUGCUCACAUUGUAAAGAGUUAGGCCACAUUGUUAAGAACUGCCUGCAACUCCCACCUCACUCUGAUCUUCCGCCUAAAGAUGAUGUUCCUGCAAAGACAGACAAAGCUACCUCUACUGCUGAUAGCUCAAAAGACAAGGGAGAGCAAUCUGUGCCUCUCUCUUCUACCAUUUUUAUUCCUGUGAAAAGGAAAAAGAAUGAUAUCAAGGCCACAAAUGUUUCAAAACCCUCUACUUCCCAAACCCCCUCAAAGCCCCCCUCAUCUUCCACAAACCUUUUUGCACCAUUAUCCCAUCCAACCCCCUCUUUAAAUACUCCUCCCCCAAAACAGUCUAAUCUCACAAAAAACCCCACAAAAAACCCCACUAAAUCAGUUAUUAUCCCUUCCCAACCCUCUGCUAACUCUGUCCCACAAACCCCUGCCACCAUAAACUCCCUUUCUCCUGCACCCAAGACCACCAUUGUCUCUCCAGUGGUCCCCACUCACAUUAAACAGCUGCCAGUUGUUGUUGGACUUCCUGCCUCUAUUACUCCCUCUGGCCUCCCAUACCCCCACUCUCCUCCCCCUGAUCAAAGGCUUAAUUCAUCUCUUAAAAGAUCCCGUUCUCACCCCACCCUUUCUGAUUCUCCCCCUCUUUAUUUGGACCCCCAUCCACCCCUUUUGACCCCCUUUGUUACUGAACCAGUCACUUUUUUGUCCCCUUCUCUUGUCCCUGAACCUGCUAAGGAUGGUUCUGUGCCUCCUUUGGUUGAUCCCCCCCCUCUAUCCUAAUGGAUACAAAAAACUUUUUUUGGAACUUCCGUGGCCUAAAUGACCCGGAUAAGCAUCAGCCCUUAAAUAAAUGGCUUAGUAGCUAUCAACCACUUUUUGGCGCACUUUUGGAAACGCAUAUAAAGGAUCUUAGUUUGAACCAGAUUAUGAAUAAAGCAUGUCGUGGAUGGAAUUUUACUUCCAAUCAUUUGUCGGAUGAAGAUGGUAGAAUCGUUAUCAUAUGGAAGGAUCCGGCCUCAGUUCGAGUGUUGCACCAGUCCAAGCAGUCUCUAACCUGUGAAGUAAAUAUUGCCAACAAACUUAAGUUUGUGUUCACUGCGGUGUAUGCAUCUAAUCUAAGAGAGGAAAGAACUGACCUUUGGGUGGAACUUCUCAACCUCCAGCAAUCUUUCUCGUUAGAUUCUUGUCCCUGGCUUGUUGGGGGUGACUUUAAUCAGAUUGUCCAUUAUGGGGAACAUUCCUCGCCCACAGUCAAUUCCAUCACUCCCCCAAUGGUUGAGCUGUCAGACUGCCUUUCUCAGUUGGAGUUGUUUGACUUGAGAUCUCAGGGGCCAACCUUUACGUGGAGUAACAACCAGCCUCUAUCCCCUGUUGCAAAGAAGCUUGAUCGUGUAUUGGUGAACCAUCACUGGAUCUCUUUAUUUCCAGACAGCACUGCCACCUUUUUACCUCCGUUUCCCUCUGACCAUGCCCCAAGCCUUGUAAACCUUGCUUAUCAACUCCCGAGAGCUGGUACCAGACCUUUCAAGUUCUUUAACUACCUUACCAAACACCCAAACUUCCUUCAGUUAGUGGAUGAAGCCUGGAUUCAAGCCGGAAGCUUUGCUUCAAAUCUCACAGACCUGUGUUGGAAGCAAAAGGCUAUUAAAGGAGAACUAAAACACUUAAAUAGAGAGCACUUUUCAGACAUUCAAAUGAGAGUUAGUGAGGCUAACCGUUUGUUAUUGGAUGUACAGGUACAAGCUCUGGCAAGCCCAUCACCUACCAUCUUUCAGCUGGAGAGAGACACUCAUGAUAAGUGGCACUUUCUAAGGAGUAUUGAGGAGAGUUACUUUAAGCAAAAGUCAAGAAUAAAUUGGCUUAAAGAGGGAGACCUGAAUACCUCUUAUUUCCACAAGAUCUGCCAGUCGAGAGCAAGUUAUAACACUAUUCGCUCGUUUCUGUUGGACUCUGGUGCUCUGCUAACGGAUCCUGUGCUUAUGAGCACUCAUGCAAUCACCCACUUUAAGUCUAUCUUAGCUCCUGAUCAUCUUGCUCCUCCUGCUCAGUGGUCUUCUCUUCAAUGGUUCCAAGAGUUAAACCCUUUCAGAUGUCCACCAUCCCAGUCCAGAGCUAUGUUACUUAUACCGGCUCACUCUGAAAUAGCAAGAAUACUAUUCAAACUCAACCCUAACAAGGCCCCUGGACCGGAUGGAUUAACUUCUGGAUUCUAUAAAGCAACUUGGGGAAUCUUAGGCGAUGAAGUGGUUACCUCUAUCAGUCGCUUCUUCCUCACCUCUUUCAUGCCAGCCUCCACAAAUGCCACCAUCCUCACUUUGGUGCCCAAACAUUCUGGUGCCUCUAGAAUUGUUGACUACCGUCCCAUAUCCUGUCUCAAUACUCUCUACAAAGUUGUCUCCAAGCUCCUGGUUGCUAAGCUCAAGCCAAUUCUCCCCUCUCUCAUCCUACCAAAUCAAACGGCCUUUGUUCAAGACAGACUACUCCUUGAGAACACCAUCCUUGCUGCUGAGAUUGUUAACGGAUACCAUAAAAACCAGGGCCCCAAGAGAGUGGUUAUUAAGGUUGACAUUGCAAAAGCUUUUGACACGGUUUCUUGGGAUUUCCUCUUCCAGUGCCUCCGGGGUCUUGAACUUCCUGAGUUGUUCCUCAACUGGCUCCAUGCUUGUGUCUGUUCACCAAGUUUCAUGGUUGGUUAUAAUGGUACAGUUCAAGGUUAUUUCAAAGGUAAAAGAGGUCUUAGGCAGGGAGACCCUCUUUCCCCUUACCUUUUUGUAAUAGCUAUGAACACCUUAUCUCUAAUGCUUAAUAAAGCUGCAGAAGAGGGAAGGUUCAAGUAUCAUCACAACUGUGAUAAGGCCAAACUCACUCACCUCUGUUUUGCGGAUGAUCUUCUCAUCUUCUUGGACGGUUCCCUCAGUUCUGUUCAGGCUGUCCUCCAUGUUCUGAAAGAGUUUGAGGAAAGAUCAGGCCUUGCCAUCAGCAUUCAUAAGUCUUCCUACUUUGCUGGAGGGCUAUCAGAUGAGGAAACAAACCUCAUUACUACAGUGACUGGACUCCCACUUGGUUGUCUCCCGGUUCGCUAUCUAGGAGUCCCUCUAUGCACAAAAAAGCUAAACAUUCAAGACUGUGAACCUCUACUGCAACAAGUCAAAGGAAAAAUCAAUAGUUGGACUACUAAAUACCUAUCUUUUGCAGGGCGAUUGCUGCUAAUCAACACGGUUAUUGCAGGAAUCACAAACUUCUGGUGCUCCUCUUUUGUCCUGCCUAAGCUCUGCAUUCAAAAGAUAAACUCAAUCUGUAGUGCCUUCCUAUGGAAAGGAAAUCUAGAAGGACAUCACUCUGCUAGAGUUUCUUGGGAGAAGAUUUCAAAGCCAAAGACCCAGGGAGGAUUGGGAAUUAAAGACCUCACCAGCUGGAAUAGGGCUUGCUCCAUAAGACUCAUCUGGCUUCUUUUCUUUAGAUCGGGAUCUGUUUGGGUAGCUUGGUACAAGGAACACUUCCUGCGUGGGUCUUUGAACAACUUUUGGACUAUGAAACAAAGACCAGUUUACUCAUGGUUAGCAAAUAAAUUGUUGAAAAUCAGAGACGUGUGCUAUAAUUGGAUAAAGAUGCGGGUUGGGAAUGGUCUUACUUGUAGGUUCUGGACGGACAACUGGUCUCCUUUUGGACGGCUCUCGACCUUCCUCUCCGAUACUGCAACCUCAAGACUUGGAAUUCGCCAACAGUCUACUCUUUCUCAGCUGUACAACCGGGGCACAUGGAUGCUACCAAACCCCAGAUCAGAUACUCAACUAUCUCUCCAUAUCUUCCUCACUACGCUAUCCUUAUCUAACUUUGAUGACCACUACGAAUGGGAACUAGAUGGGAAGACCUAUACACGCUACUCUACUGGGCAAGUCUAUCGAGCUAUCACUAUGCAAUCGCCUUUGGUUCCUUGGAGAGAAGUCGUCUGGUUCUCCGGGAGCAUUCCAAAACACAGUUUCCUCACUUGGCUUUUGGUUCAGAAUCGGUGUCCCACACGAGAUCGUAUCCUGGGAUGGGGGCUUCAAACGGAUCCAUUAUGCCUCCUCUGUGGCUCUUCACCUGAGUCUAGGGACCAUAUCUGGUUUGACUGCGGAUUCGCUUGGUCCAUCUGGGAAAACAUAGCAAGUCGAUGUGGGAUCUCUCCCCUGAGAUCUUGGGAGGCAUCGCUACACCAUUUGCAGGGGAUGAACGGGGAUAAAGCUCGCCGGCGAUUAACCCUUCUUGCUUGGCAGUGUUCCCUUUACUUGAUUUGGGCGGAGAGGAACAAUCGACUCCACCGUUGCUCUUUCCGAUCAGUGGAUGAUCUCCUCCGACAAAUUGAUACAACUAUCAGAAAUCGGAUUGCCUCGUACAGAGAUUCGAAUUCUUCUAUUGCUUCGCUUAUGCUGCAACAUUGGUUCUCCUCUGCUUGAUCUUCCGACAUUUGUCGUCUACUAUUCCAUCAACUAGGGCAUGCUACUUUCUCUAGGUUCAACUUAAGAUCCAUUUGUGUUUGUUUUGUGCUAUUCGGGCUAGGCCCACAUCAAAAAACUACUAAGGCUGGGCUUUUGUAAUCUUUUUCUUUUCUUUUUGCAAUUAAUAGAAAGCCUGUUACAAAAAAAAAGGUUUUCUUUACUUUAUUUCUAUCCCUUCAAAUUUUAAAAUCUUCAAAUAACAAAAAAAAUACUUUAAAAUCUUCAAUAUUUCUAUUCUUGUUUUGACUAAUUUUAUAAUUUUUUGUUUUGUUUGAAACUAAUAGUAUGUCAUCAACAUAUCUUAAAACCUU